Molecule: long non-coding RNA, 1948 nt
Organism: Rhea pennata
Lineage: Eukaryota; Metazoa; Chordata; Aves; Rheiformes; Rheidae
Exons: 3
Source: RefSeq, a predicted model, not a curated record
GGCAGUGAGCUACAGCCGAGACGAUCUGCUUGAAAAGCCGGGCAGCCUCCUCCUCCCGCAGCCUUUUGCAGCUCCUCACGUAGGAGUGCAUGUCCCCAAAGUCCUUCUCGAAGAAGACGUAGGCCUUGGUGUCCCCGAGGAUCACUUCUACGACCCCGGUGAUGUUCCUGUGUGACGGCAGCUGAAUGGUAAAAGAAAAUUCAGUCAACUGACUCUACUAGUUUAUCAGCAAUGUUGAAACUUUUGAUCCACCACAACAACAUCUACUACGAUGACAGCUUCCCAAUGGAUUUAACCUCCUGAAUUCAGUUCCUGAUUCCAAAAGGCACCAUGAAUAGCUGUGACUUCCCCACACACUUCCUGAAUAUAUCCUUACACAUUGUUUUCAUAAAAAGAGAAAAAAAAGAAAAAGAUCCUUCAUGUGUACAGUACUAAUAGGAAGCCUGUGACUUGGGCAGACACUGAAGUAUUACUUCCUGUAACCUUGCCAAUCCAAAUACAUUUCCUAGAACAAGUGGAAUAGAAUUCCACUUACGCAGCAAAGCAAAUAGCUUUUCCACACAUUCUUGUUAGCUUACCGGACUUUCUUCUUUUGCUGCUUUCGAGCCUGGAUAAUUUUUAGAAUGGCAUCUUCUUCAUAGAUAUGACCACAGACUUUGUUUCGAACUGGCUUCUUCAUUUCCAUCUGUAAUCAAUAAGGUUGGAUUUAAAUGAACUGAUAAUGCUGUGAAUGCACUUCAUACAAGAUUUUUACAGCAGGAAGAUUGUCUGUCACUCAUACAUGCUGUUCCAUCCAAAUUGUGGGGUCAGAUCCAGCAUGGUAAACUGCAUUGUAGGUUGUUUUAGGUUUUUUUCAGGCAACAUUGCUUCUCUCUGAUAUUGACUGAAAUUUAUACUGCCUGAUCUUUAACAAGGACUGCAGAUUUCUAAUAAGCAAUCUAGUGAAAAAUAAGAAAUAAUGAUUUCCCAAUCUAUUAUAGUAGCAGUGAUAGCAUACCUGUGUAAUGGGACAAAUAAAGUUCAUCUGACUCUGAGUCACAGCUAUAUCUUCAUCGAUUUGUUCAAUGUCCUCAUUAUCAUUAUUAUCUGAUUGAAGACAAACUAUAACGGGAAACAAAACAAUUUUCAUUCAAUAUGUAAUAUACAUAAUCAAUACUUAAAUAAGCAAGUAAAAUCCAGCAUUUGCCAGACAUUAUCUCAUAGCGAUAGUAAGAUACCACAACAUAUUUCUGUAGCACUCCCUGAAAAAGAUAUUGCAAAAAAUGCUAUAAUAUGCUGUCUGUUUGAACAUGUGGAUUUUUAAAAGGCAACCACUUUUUGGAGGGGGAGGGGAGCCAAUAUUAGCCAAUACUAGAACGGAGAGAAAGAAAAGAAAGCAAGCUGGCGAGCAUACAUGUAAAGCUCAAGCUCACAAAAACAGGUAAUUCACACACAAGUCCCCAAAAUCUAACGAAGGAUAAGGUGGAGCCUUUGCAGUUUUGGUAGCCCUGCCCUCAAGAUCAGUUUGUGUUUGAAUGUCAUAAAUGGAUCAUUAUAAAACCUGUAUAAAUAUACAAUAUAUAUCUUAAAAGGAAUUUGUAUUAUUUAUCACAAUGAUCAUUAAGUCAUGCCACUAUAUUUUAAUAAGACUGUAAUUAGUGAAAUCAGCUUGAGAACAAAGGCCAAGAAUAUGUUAUUUGAGAUACACAGCAGAAACAUUAUUGAAAUAACCUUAUGGAGGAAGGGCAGAACAAAAUACUAUAAUCUCCCAGAAUACACUUGAUGGCUGUAUGCCAGGGAAUGAAAACCACUUGACCUGGAGAAGAUACAAGUCCUUCCCUUCAACAGGAUCAGAAGGAAAAGAACCUAUGAGUACACCGUGAAGAAACUAUUUAGCUAUAUAUUGGAGCACUUAAGGAGGAUACCUACUGCUAAGUAUAACCUUAAUAAAGGUACACAUGUUGUUUUA